Physeter macrocephalus (sperm whale) is the source of this 10695-nucleotide RNA transcript. It is a transcript of the gene named zinc finger protein 606, with no coding region annotated. The record is from RefSeq and is a predicted model, not a curated record. The transcript has 9 exons. NCBI's taxonomy places the organism in Eukaryota, Metazoa, Chordata, Mammalia, Artiodactyla, Physeteridae.
GCGCCGCGGGUCUCUUGGUUGUGGUAGUUUCCCCGGAGGGCGCUCUGGGCCGGGGUCUCCGGAGUCCGCGGUCUGGGGACGGAGUAACCGUCGGGAGAGCUGCGGGGUCCGGCCGGCCGGGGCCUGGGGCGGACGGUGUCGGAAGCUGACGGGGCCCGAGAACCGUGGCCCUGUGUGUAGAGACUCCGGGGUGGGCGCUGCGGGUCGGACCUGACCGCUGUCGAGGUUUGUUACUCGCCUUUCCCAGCUCUGACUCGGUCGAGAGCUCGGAGUCGGAAGAGAUGACUGCCACGGGGCUCUUGGCUGCCUGCCUCCCGGUGAGUGGCCGCUCCUCUCCCUCCUGAUGGGCUGGGCCUGGACCCCAGGCUGGGGGGCUGGGCCUGGACCCCAGGCUGGGGGGCAUAACUCCCCCAACUUGGGACCCUCAGCCCGUCGUUCUGGCCGAGAAGGGAUGAACAGAAGAGGCAGAAAACUGCGUGGUCCUGCAGUCCUUAAGUGUAUCAAUAAAGCCCUAGAGCCAGUGAAGAUCUAGUCACAAAGCCCCCCAACAAGAAACUUCCUGACCCAAAUGGCUUCAGCUACCACCCGUUUAAAGAACAAACGAUUCUGGUCUUUCCAUCAUCUGGAAUGAUUUGUCUAAAAGAGGGAGCGUGUCUCUGUUAAUUCUUAUAAAGCCUGCGUAACCUGUGUUCCAAAACUUGUGCACUUCUCUCAGCUCAGUCUCCGCCUUUGAAAGGACAAAAAAACAGACUCCAGGAAGUGGCAACUACUUUCUCAGACUGUUUCCAGGGUUAAGUGAAUUUCCGUUAAAGAAGGUGCUGACUUAGCACUGCGCUCAGCCUGGAGAACUCUUGGCAAAUGUUAACAUUAUCAGCAGUUAAUAACAUCAUCUUUUUAUGCCUGGUAUAUAAAAAGGAAGAGGAAUCCUGAAGGAUGACAUUUUGAUCUUGUGGAGGAUCCCUAGUUUAUCAAGAAAUGAGUGAGAUUCUUAGGGGGUAAACAUUUCAGUAUUACGGGGGCUCUCCUCUGAAAUGGCUGAUGCAGGCCCCCAGAUCCCCCGGGGAGCCUUGAGUAUCCCUCAGAAGCCAGAACCCUCUCAGGACAUCUCUGUGUACACCUGAGUCCAUCCUCCCGUUCUCAUGUAUGCCGCUCCCAGCCCUUGUGGGAGCUUUGCAGAGAUCAGGGUCUUAGCUAAGCAGACACGACGGUGACAUUUCAGGGGCAGGUAACCUUCGAUGAUGUGGCUGUGGACUUCACCCAGGAGGAGUAGGAGCUGCUGGGCCCUGGCCAGAAGACCCUGUCCCACGACGUGAUGCUGGAGACCUUUAGGCACUUGGGGUCACUGUGGGUGAGGCUGUGCCUUGUGUUGACUUGCAUCUGCCUGGGGUCUCGGCAGAGUGGGUGUGACCUGGCUGGGAGUGUGGGGUCAGUGAACCCUAGAAGGGUUUCUCUUCUUCCAAGCCCUCAAGGCCUGAUCUCUCACUUGGACAGUGUCUUGGAUCUCCAAACCAGCUAUCGUGGCCCAGCUAGAACUCGGAGUAGAGCCAUGGAUAAUGGACAGAGGACUCUCCCAAGAUUCCUGCCCAGCAUGGAAGAACAGACCUAAAAGCCAAGAGUCACCAUCAACAGAGGCCAUUUCUGGUGACGGAUUACCCAGCAGCAUGAACCUGGAAAGGUACACAAUGGGUGAUUCCUGGCGUUCUACCGUAGCAGACGACUGGAAAUCUGAGGAUAAAUCAGAAAAUCAGAAGAUGUACCGUGUUAGUGUGGGGCCAGUGGAAUAUGAACAAGGGCAACUAGUGACCCCAGAUGGGGAUUGGGAAAAUGCUGAAGUUGUGGGGAAAUGCAGCUUCAAUUCCGACUUUGUUUCUUCACAGAGAUUUCUUAUCAAAGAACAUUUUCAUCAAACUGACUCAGGAGUUCACAGUUUACAGCAUAAUUUUGUUUUACAGAAUCAUCAGGAAAUCUUGGUAGAAAAGAAAUCUUGUAAAGACAAUCCAUAUGGAAAAGUCCUGGAAAAAUUGUAGUGGUUAUACCAUUUUACAUUCCCAUCAGCAAAGUAUGAGAGUUCCAGUUCCUCCACAUCCCCAUCAAUAUUUGGUGGGUAUUGCAGUUGCUUUCACUAAUCACCCAAUCCACUGCUCCUGGGCAAGCUCCUGGUGGAUUAAUCCUGCAGGAUGGCAGCCAUCAACCCGUGGGCUUCCUGGGGUAUCCUUACGGACCAGUCCUGGGGGAUGGCGGCUGUUGACCCGUGGGCCUCCUGGGGAACCAGUGACCUUCAAAGAUGUGGCUGUGGACUUCACCCAAGAGGAAUGGGGGCAGCUGGACCCUGUUCAGAGGACCCUGUACCGUGAUGUGAUGCUGGAGACCUAUGGGCAUCUGCUCUCUGUGGGGAAUCAGAUCGCCAAGCCCGAGGUCAUCUCCCUGUUGGAGCAAGGAGAAGAGCCGUGGUCAGUGGAGCAGGCAUAUCCUCCUCAAGGCACUUGUCCAGAAUGGAUGAGAAGUCUUGAAAGCAAAGCGUUGAUCCCAACACAGAGCAUUCUUGAGGAGGAACAGUCCCAUAGCAUGAAGUUGGAGAGAUACAUAUGGGAUGAUCCUUGGUUCUCCAGGUUAGAAGUUUUGGGAUGUAAAGACCAAUUAGAAAUGUAUCACAUGAACCAGAGUACAGCUAUGAGGCAAAUGGUCUUCAUGCAAAAGCAAGUACUGUCUCAAAGAGGCUCUGAGUUCUGUGAACUUGGGGCAGGGUGUAGCCAGAGCCUAAGCAUUGUUCCAUCUCAGAAAGUUUCUCAAAUAGAACAUUUCUAUAAGCCUGAUACAAAUGCUGAAAGUUGGAGAUGUAACUCAGCCAUAAUGUAUGCAGAUAAGAUUACCUGUGAAAAUAAUGAGUAUGACAAAGCCUUCUACCACUCCAUGCAACCUGUUCACCCUGCAAGGGUGCAAACUGGAGAUAAUCUUUUCAAAUGUACUGAUGCUGUUAAAUCUUUCAAUCAUAUACUGCAUUUCGGUGAUCAUAUGGGAAUGCAUACAGGAGAAAAACUAUAUGAAUAUAAGGAAUGCCAUCAAAUCUUUAACCAGAGCCCAUCAUUUAGUGAACAUCCAGGACUUCAUAUUGGAGGAAACCAGUAUGAUUACAAAGAAUAUGAGAAUAUCUUUUACUUUUCAUCCUUUAUGGAACAUCAAAAAAUUGGUACUGUAGAGAAAGCAUAUAAAUACAAUGAAUGGGAGAAAGUCUUUGGGUAUGACUCAUUCCUUACACAGCAUACAAGCACUUACACUGCAGAAAAACCCUACGAAUAUAAUGAAUGUGGGACGUCUUUCAUCUGGAGCUCUUACCUUAUCCAACAUAAGAAAACUCAUACUGGAGAGAAACCCUAUGAAUGUGAUAAAUGUGGAAAAGUUUUUAGGAAUCGUUCAGCCCUUACUAAACAUGAACGGACUCACACUGGAAUCAAACCCUAUGAAUGUAAUAAAUGUGGAAAAGCCUUCAGCUGGAAUUCUCAUCUUAUUGUACACAAGAGAAUUCAUACGGGAGAGAAACCUUAUGUAUGUAAUGAAUGUGGGAAGUCUUUCAACUGGAACUCCCAUCUUAUUGGACAUCAGAGAACUCAUACUGGAGAGAAACCUUUUGAAUGUACUGAAUGUGGGAAAUCUUUCAGCUGGAGCUCCCAUCUUAUUGCCCACAUGAGAAUGCAUACUGGAGAGAAGCCCUUUAAAUGUGAUGAAUGUGAAAAAGCUUUUAGGGAUUACUCAGCCCUUAGUAAACAUGAAAGAACUCACUCUGGAGCAAAACCAUAUAAAUGUACUGAAUGUGGAAAAUCCUUCAGCUGGAGCUCCCACCUUAUUGCCCAUCAGAGAACUCACACAGGAGAGAAACCCUAUAACUGUCAGGAAUGUGGCAAAGCAUUCAGAGAACGUUCAGCCCUUACUAAACAUGAAAUAAUUCAUUCUGGAAUUAAGCCCUAUGAAUGUAAUAAAUGUGGAAAAUCCUGCAGCCAGAUGGCUCACCUUGUUAGACAUCAAAGGACUCAUACUGGAGAGAAGCCCUAUGAGUGCAAUAAAUGUGGAAAAUCCUUCAGCCAGAGUUGCCACCUUGUUGCCCAUCGGAGAAUCCACACUGGUGAGAAACCCUACAAAUGUAAUCAAUGUGAAAGAUCCUUUAACUGUAGCUCUCAUCUUAUUGCACACAGGAGAACUCAUACUGGAGAGAAACCAUAUAGAUGUAAUGAAUGUGGGAAAGCAUUUAAUGAGAGUUCUUCCCUUAUUGUACAUCUGAGAAACCAUACUGGAGAAAAACCCUACAAAUGUAAUCAUUGUGAAAAAGCUUUCUGUAAGAAUUCUUCUCUUAUUAUUCAUCAGAGAAUGCAUAGUGGAGAGAAACGCUUUAUAUGCACUGACUGUGGAAAAGCCUUUAGUGGUCACUCAGCCCUACUUCAACACCAGAGAAAUCAUAGUGAAGAGAAACUCUGUGAAUUGAAUUGAUGAGAGAUUUUUCUUUUAUUGUACAUUUGAUAACACAUUGAAAAAAACCCUAUAAGUAUAAUCAAGAGGGGAAAUUUUUAAUACGAGUUCAGUAAGACUUCUCCCCUUAUUAAUCAGUAGAAAUUAUCUUCGUAGAAGAAACCUGUGAAUGAAAAGAAUAGGCAAAAGCCUUCCACAGUUGUGUAGCCUUUAUUUAACAUCAAAUAAUUACAGUGAAGAGGACACCAGACUCCCCUCAUGGUCCACCAGGAAUCCUACUUGAGCAACAUGAACGUAGGGGAUGAGACAUCUUUUAGUAAGAGAUCUCAACUAUUUGUGGAUCAGAGUGCAUUGUUAAGGGAAAAACUUUAUCCUAGGAAAAGUGUUUCAACUAGAUAUACGCUGUUUUGCAUCAAGCUGGAAUAUUGGAUGGAAGUUUUACAAUAACAUUUUGUGCAUCAUUACGGAAACACAGAUUGUGCUAUUAUAAGGGGAGGGUCUGGGCGCCCUUUAAGGAAUAGAAUAUGGAAUACUAAACCUGAAUUUAAGGAAAAAAAAGAGUUGAAUGGGAUAUUUACUGUUGAUCGAGAUUAACCUUAGAAAAGAUUAGUAAAUGAGAUUACUAAUGAUGGAAAGGUAUUGCCCAUAAGUAUGAGACUGAUGUUGUUGGAACAAAAGGUGAUACUUAAUAACCCAGUGUGUCAGUGACCAUGGUUUACUCAUUACUGCAUUGUUGGACAAUUAGUUUGUAAUCUGUUUUAGGCAGUCACUGUAAGUUAUAAUUAUGGAUACUGAGUCAAUAUACAUAACAAAAAAGGAAUAAAAAAGACACAAAAUUGUAUAUACAUAUCUACUAUAACAUCUAAAAAGUGUAUAUGCAUAACAACUGGAAAGACCCAUGGAUAAAUUAACCCAGUUAAGGUUUUUUUUUUAAGUUUUACAAACACAUACAGCACUUAUCAUGUGCUAGACUUUGUUUUAAAUACUUUUCAAAUAUUAACUUGUUCAGUCCCCUUAAUUCUAUGAGAUAGGUACUAUUAUUAUCCCAGUUUUACAGAGGGAGAAACUGAGGCAGAAAUCAUGAGAAACCUACCUAAGGACACACAGCUAGUUAGGAGUAGAAAGAUUGUUUGGCUCCAGAGAUUGUUUUAACCACUGUGUUGCACUGCCUCUGCAGUGAUUUUUUUCCCCUAAUGUUUUUUUUUUUUAAUUUUGUCGAGUAUUCUUAUAGUAGAUAUUUGAUAAUAAAAAUCAAAUUCCUAAACAAUGAGAAGUAAAGUUACCUGGAUUUCUGCCCUGUGGGAUUUCGGGUACCACGAGAGCAAAGCUCCCUUUGGAAUAUGAAGUCUGGAUUGGACAUUCAGAAUCAGUGCAUUUUCUGGGCCCUGGGUUCCCUAGAAUUUCACCACCUAUGACCCUGAGGAUUACAGCAGAGCAGGGGCUGGAGGACUCACUGGAGGUUUGGGCAAGUCUGAGGAAAUGCCCCUUGAUGGGUUUAGAAUGCCCUUCAUGAGGCAGAGGGCAAGAGACACAUCUGCACAUGAGAGCACCAUUUCUCAAGGUCUCCCUAGAAUUCAAUGUUUAUAUUUUCUGUAUCUUCUCCAGAUGAAGAGAUUACUUGAUAGUGGGGAGGAUUCAGAAGGGAAGGGAGCUAAUCAGUCAUAAAAUGAGGAAGUUUCUCUGAGUGCUCAGAGUGGAAAGGGGGCAAGAUGAAUAGGAGGACUUGGGUGGCGUUUCUUCGGUUCACAAAUAUUUCCUGUAUUUAAAUCCCUAAGGUAGGGCUAUAAUUAAGGGCCAGCAGUCCUUCCUGGAUGGGUUUCAAGGGCAUUGGUUAGAAAUCCAGGGUACAGAAGGUUCAUCUCGUUCUCGAGGGGUCCAUGACUCUCCAGUGGUUGAGAAAAAGUGGCCUGCUGGUAUGGUGGAACUCUGUGCUCACUGUCAGACUCCCGUAGCUGGCACUUCCAUAGGUAUGUAACACUGACCCUACCUUAAUGUAUAGGGGUUGCCCAGUAAAGGUUGCAGGGGUAAAUUAAUUGGAUUUCUUGUGUGAUUUGUGCAGAGAUCCUUGGAGAGAAUAGAGGCAGCACUAUUAACCUCUGUAAGAGACAGCAGCCUAAUGCAUCAAGAGGUGUACUGCCAAUAUAUGGGUAUUGUAUUCUAACACCCAAAGUAAUAUACUUUGAACCCAGAUUCUCUGAUUUAGGGACUACAAAGGAUUUUGUAAGUCAUACAUAAAUAUUCCACAGGCAUCCUGGCAAGUUCUGUAACUGUACCACCAAGCUUAGUAUCUUUAAAAAAAUAUUUCUAAAAGGGCCUCCUGGACUUCUGAAGUGUCCUUCUAAUAGGGUCCCAGACUUCUGCUUCCUCCUAGGAGGAUUCCCUACCUCCCUACCACCUAUUACACAACCUUAUGUAUGCCCAGGGCUCCCAGGUCCCCUCUUACCUCCCUUAUUCUCACCCACAUGUAGCUCAGUUCAUUGCCCUUUUGAUCCCCACGCUCCACUCUUCCCCAACUCUGAAACCUGCUGGGCCCAGUUGGAACUCUCCAUUCAGCCAUCUUUUGCUGUGACUGAAACUUGGGUCUCCCCUCUGCACAGUACCUUUUCUUAUGAUCCUUGCAGGGAGUGGCUGCUUUCUCUCUCACUCUUCUUCAUUUGUUGCUUCUAGAUUGUUUUCCCUCCCUUCUCUCUAAAACUGAGUUCUGACUCUUGGGACACCAAACUGUCAUAUCACUCUUGCUUCCCCUCUGUUGCAAUCACCUUAUGAAUGGUUCACUCUUCCCAUCCGUAAAGAUUUCAGCUCUUGCUGUAUUGCAUCUAAAACCACCCCCAUCAUAAUACUUCCUGAUUUUAUUGUCCAGGUAGAUGAUCUUCCUGUGUCCUGACCUCACAGUUCUUUGACCUGUCUGCUCACGGUUUUGUCACCCACCCUGCAACAGACAGUCACUCCCAUUGUCAUCCCUAGGACCAUUCCAUUACCGGUGACUGGAACCUCCCACCAUCGAUUUCAAGUGUCUUUUCCUAAGCUAGUUGGCUGUUUAGUACCAAGAUUCCAACAGUCCCUUCACUGAAUCUUCCCUUACGCUUGCUCCCAGCAGACGACUUUGCUUCCUGUUUCCCUGAGUGAAUAGAAGCCAGCAGAGGCCUUGCAUGACAUCUGUCCACCUUCUCUACCCACUUUCCAUAAUUUCCGUGCCUUCCCACUGGUGCCUGUAUAUGAACUGACUAGGUUGGCACCAGAGCCUGUCCCAUGUCCACUACUCCAAGACAUUGCUUCAGCAAGUUUCCCUUAAUCUCUUGUAUCCUCAGGUUUUCUAUAUAUACUGGAUUAUCCCCAUGGGCAUGUAAACAUACUUCAAAAAAACAAAACAAAAAACGCCUCUGGCUCCUGAAUCAUUCUCUGCUUUGUUUCAGAAAGCAAAAUAUCUCAAAAGUUGUCUGUUCUUGCUGUCUUCACUUCCCUUUCAUUCUUUCUUUCUUUUUUUAAAAAAAAUAUUAUUUUUGGUUGCAUCGGGUCUUAGUUGGGGCACACGGGAUCUUUCGUUGCAGCGCAUGGGCUUCUCUCUAGUUGUGGCACGCAGGCUUAGUUGCCUGGCAACAUGUGGAAUCUUAGUUCCCCGACCAGGGAUCGAACCCGCGUCCCCUGCAUCGGAAGGCGGAUUCUUAACCACUGGACCACCAGGGAAGACCCCUUUCUAUUCUUUCUUGAACCCACUCCAAAACCUACCUUGCUGCCAGAUGACCUCCACAUUGCUAAAUCCAGUGGUCAGUUCUGUUUUCUUCCUUGACGUUAUCAGCAGCAUCUUAGAUUCUUAGGUAAUAGAUCAUUUCCUUCUUGAAACACCUUCACGUGGCUUUUGGGACUUGCCUCCUGCCUCUCUGGCCUUCAUUUCAGGACCCCUUUGCUGUUCCUUCCCCACUUCCUUUACCUCUUACUGUCAGACUGCCCACUUCCCAUCUGCUCACAGUGCCUUGAUCUCAUGCAGUCUUGAAGCCCUGUAAACACCACUGGUAUGCUGAUGACUCUCCCUUUAAGGCCACAGUUUGAUGAGUUUUGAAAAAUGUCAACACCCUUGCAACCACCACUACAAUAAAAAUAGAGAAUAUUUGCCCUUCUCCAAAAAGUUCCCUCAUGUCUUUUCACAGUUAAUCUCCACCCUACCCCAAGACCCGGGCAACCACAUGUCUGCUUUGUCAGUACAUAUUAGGAUUGUCUUUUAGAGUUGUAUAAAGAUAGAAUCAUACAGUAUUCUAUUCAUAUGCUACGUUUGUAUCCAGAUUCUUUUGCUCAGCAUGUUUUGGAGGCUCAUCCACGUUGUAGCAUUUAUCAGUAGUCUACUUUCUUUGCUGAGUAGCUUUCCAUUAUGCGGAUGUGCCACAGGUAGUAGUCAUCCUGUUCACCUGUAGAUGGACAUUGACUUGUUUCCAGUUCUGGGCUAGUGUAAAUACAGCUGCUAUGGACAUUCUUCUUCAGGGCUUUUUUGUGUAUGCAGGUUUCCAUUUACCUUGGCUAAAAACCUAGGAGUGGAGUAGCUGAGUUGUAUGGUAAGUAAAUGUUUAACUUCAUAAGACACUUCUAUUGGCCUUUUAAUCUGAUGUCUUUAUUCUGUUUUACAUUCUGGGAAAUUUAUCUCUUAUUUUUUAAUAUUUCAUUUUUGCCAUUUAAAAAGUUUCUCUUUUUAGGACUCCUAUUAUUUAGAUGUCAGCAUGUCUGUGUCUGUUGUUCAUAUCUGUUACCUGCUCUUUUAUGUUCUCUAGUUCCUUCUCCCUUCUUCCUUUUGUCUGGACAUUUCCUCAGCUUGCUAAUUUGUUUCUCAGCUGUCCAUUUUGCUGCUUAUUUCCUCUAUUGUGUCUUCAUUUCAACCACUAUUUUACAUUUCUAAUAUUUCUACUUGGUUCCCUUUUAUGUGUUCUUACUCUUCAUUUCCUAUUGUUAGUAUCAUGCCAUAUCUCUUUAAACGUACUUAAUUGACUAAGUUAAAAUUUUGGUCCAUCUGUUCUAAUAUAUGUGCUUCUGGUGGAAUCUGUAAUCCAGUGUGGUGUUUUUCUUUCUGAAAUAGUUAUGCUCAGAAAAUUGCUUACUGCCUGGCCAGUGAGCACAUUUAUUUCUCUUAGGGAAGCAGCUACUCCCAUCAGUUUUUAUGCAUACAUGAGACAGGAUCAGAUCUUGGUCCCUGUAAACCCCACUGAAUUCAGGGGUGGGAGGAUGGAUCCUAGGAUGGAGAGGUGAAGGCAUCCGAAAGCCAAUCACUGACUUCUUACCUCACAAGAUAACUGAAAUGUGAUUCACUAGCCCAGGGCUCUGUGGACGCAGGGUGGAGAAACAUGUGCCUGAUGUGAUGUAGUCUCUGCCUGUCUCUCAGCCACUCCGAAGCCCUGUCUUGAUUCCACUCCUCAGGAAGCCUGAAGCAGAGGCUGUGUCACUGCAGCUGUGGGUGAUGCCUGACCGUCCAGUCAACAAAUUCUCCUCACUUUCCACCUCACUGCCCUGUCUUUACUUGCUUCAUCGCACACGUCACUACGGAACAUCACCUGGUCUAUAGUUUUCCUUCCUUAUUGUCCACACCAUCUCCCGAAACCACACACUAGGCUGUGAUCUCCAUGGGGCAGGGCACCUCGUUGGUCCUGGUCGUGCUGUGUCCCUAGUGUCCAGCACAGCACCUGUGGUUCUGUGAGUGCUUGGAACACACCAGCAGGUUGUUGCUUGUGCUUCCCAGCAGCCCGACCUCAUCAGGUGGGGUCGCCAUGAGUUCUCAUCAUCCUGGGUCUCCUGACCAUGGAGAGGAGACUGGGGGUGACUGUGGGGUGGUGCCCACAGGGAGAAGGGCUUUGCAAUCAUAGACAAAUGGUCAAGAACCCCUGUAUGUGGGAGAAGGACUAGUCAGAAGGCUUGACCAUAAAAUGGGGGGUGGGGGUGGAUAUCAGAGACGCCACAAAUCAGACUCACCUUGUGGGCAGAGGAGAGAAGUGGCCAGGAAUGUGGGCGGUGCUGGGAGCUCCCCAGCAACACAGAGUCUUCGAGUCACGAGGGUCAGGGCUCAUCCCAGCCUUCCCUGCAGAUGCUGUUAUGUCUGCACAGGCAACACCCUCCCUUGUGUCGUCACAGAGACAAAAUCCCUCUGCAGAUGGAGUGAGCAGCACUGUGCUCAAGAAGUUGGCUCCAGGCCCUGCUUCUGGGUCUGGUCAAAACCCACAGCAGGAAGGAUGAGCUCCCACAAGGCCUUGGUGAGCUGCCCAG